Molecule: ribosomal RNA, 777 nt
Filed under: uncultured Neocallimastigales
Lineage: Eukaryota; Fungi; Neocallimastigomycota; Neocallimastigomycetes; Neocallimastigales
Description: partial large subunit ribosomal RNA
Rfam family: Eukaryotic large subunit ribosomal RNA
Source: RNAcentral
UCAGACGAUGCGUUCAUGCAUAUCAAUAAGCGGAGGAAAAGAAACUAACAAGGAUUCCCUCAGUAACGGCGAGUGAAGCGGGAAGAGCUCAAAUUUGAAAUCUUGAAAGGUCACCUUUCACGAAUUGUAGUUUAAAGAAGUGUUUUCUGUUACGAUCGUAAUAUAAGUUCUUUGGAAUAGGACAUCACAGAGGGUGAGAAUCCCGUCUAUGAUUGCGAUUUGUAGCUUUGUGAUACACUUUCAAAGAGUCGGGUUGUUUGGGAAUGCAGCCCAAAAUGGGUGGUAAAUUUCAUCUAAAGCUAAAUAUUGGCGAGAGACCGAUAGCGAACAAGUACCGUGAGGGAAAGAUGAAAAGAACUUUGAAAAGAGAGUUAAACAGUACGUGAAAUUGUCAAAAGGGAAGCGUUUGACACCAGUGUUGUUUUCUCGAAAAUCAAUUAAAAAUGGCUCGAUUUUGUAUUGCUGAGACCUUAAAAGCUCACUGUACAUUUUUCGUGUCUUUUUUAAUGCACUUUUCGUUUAACAAGUCAACAUCAGUUUCUUUUUGUUGUAAAAGGGUCAUUGGAAGGUGGCUUUCUUUUCGGAGAAAGUGUUUAUAGCCUUUGGCCUCUGCAAUCGGAGAGACUGAGGUCUGCAGCGUAGACUCUUCGGGGUUAGAUACAUUUGUGCUAAGUCUAUAGCUUUUUAUAGACAACUUGUUGACUAUAAUUAGUCUUGUAGCUUACUCGCUUAUGUUAUUUUACCUACGCUUAGGAUGUUGACUGAUAUGUAGUCGUA